UGGGGAAUAUUGCACAAUGGGGGAAACCCUGAUGCAGCGACGCCGCGUGGAGGAAGAAGGUCUUCGGAUUGUAAACUCCUGUUGUUGGGGAAGAUAAUGACGGUACCCAACAAGGAAGUGACGGCUAACUACGUGCCAGCAGCCGCGGUAAAACGUAGGUCACAAGCGUUGUCCGGAAUUACUGGGUGUAAAGGGAGCGCAGGCGGGAAGACAAGUUGGAAGUGAAAUCUAUGGGCUCAACCCAUAAACUGCUUUCAAAACUGUUUUUCUUGAGUAGUGCAGAGGUAGGCGGAAUUCCCGGUGUAGCGGUGGAAUGCGUAGAUAUCGGGAGGAACACCAGUGGCGAAGGCGGCCUACUGGGCACCAACUGACGCUGAGGCUCGAAAGUGUGGGUAGCAAACAGGAUUAGAUACCCUGGUAGUCCACACCGUAAACGAUGAUUACUAGGUGUUGGAGGAUUGACCCCUUCAGUGCCGCAGUUAACACAAUAAGUAAUCCACCUGGGGAGUACGACCGCAAGGUUGAAACUCAAAGGAAUUGACGGGGGCCCGCACAAGCAGUGGAGUAUGUGGUUUAAUUCGACGCAACGCGAAGAACCUUACCAAGUCUUGACAUCCCUUGACAGGCAUAGAAAUAUGUUUUCUCUUCGGAGCAAGGAGACAGGUGGUGCAUGGUUGUCGUCAGCUCGUGUCGUGAGAUGUUGGGUUAAGUCCCGCAACGAGCGCAACCCUUAUGGUCAGUUACUACGCAAGAGGACUCUGGCCAGACUGCCGUUGACAAAACGGAGGAAGGUGGGGAUGACGUCAAAUCAUCAUGCCCUUUAUGACUUGGGCUACACACGUACUACAAUGGCGUUAAACAAAGGGAGGCAGAACCGCGAGGUCGAGCAAAUCCCAAAAAUAACGUCUCAGUUCGGAUUGUAGUCUGCAACUCGACUACAUGAAGCUGGAAUCGCUAGUAAUCGCGAAUCAGAAUGUCGCGGUGAAUACGUUCCC
RNAcentral lists this ribosomal RNA (995 nucleotides) under uncultured bacterium. RNAcentral's name for it is "bacterial SSU rRNA". It matches the Rfam family "Bacterial small subunit ribosomal RNA", at positions 355 to 1375 of the family's 1533-position model. The record is from RNAcentral.